UACGUAGGGUGCAAGCGUUGUCCGGAAUUAUUGGGCGUAAAGAGCUCGUAGGCGGUUUGUUGCGUCGGCUGUGAAAUCCCGAGGCUCAACCUCGGGUCUGCAGUCGAUACGAGCAAACUAGAGUGUUGCAGGGGAGAUCGGAAUUCCUGGUGUAGCGGUGAAAUGCGCAGAUAUCAGGAGGAACACCGGUGGCGAAGGCGGAUCUCUGGGCCGUAACUGACGCUGAGGAGCGAAAGCAUGGGGAGCGAACAGG
RNAcentral lists this ribosomal RNA (253 nucleotides) under uncultured bacterium. Its description in RNAcentral is "partial 16S ribosomal RNA". It matches the Rfam family "Bacterial small subunit ribosomal RNA", at positions 524 to 776 of the family's 1533-position model. The record is from RNAcentral.